GACGAACGCUGGCGGCGUGCUUAACACAUGCAAGUCGAACGGAAAGGCCCUGCUUUUGUGGGGUGCUCGAGUGGCGAACGGGUGAGUAACACGUGAGUAACCUGCCCUUGACUUUGGGAUAACUUCAGGAAACUGGGACUAAUACCGGAUAGGAGCUCCUGCUGCAUGGUGGGGGUUGGAAAGUUUCGGCGGUUGGGGCUGGACUCGCGGCUUAUCAGCUUGUUGGUUGGGUAGUGGCUUACCAAGGCUUUGACGGGUCGCCGGCCUGGGAGGGUGGCCGGCCACAUUGGGCCUGAGAUACGGCCCAGACUCCUACGGGAGGCAGCAGUGGGGAAUAUUGCACAAUGGGCGGAAGCCUGAUGCAGCAACGCCGCGUGCGGGAUGACGGCCUUCGGGUUGUAAACCGCUUUCGCCUGUGACGAAGCGUGAGUGACGGUAAUGGGUAAAGAAGCACCGGCUAACUACGUG
This 468-nucleotide ribosomal RNA is filed under the name uncultured bacterium. RNAcentral's name for it is "partial 16S ribosomal RNA". It matches the Rfam family "Bacterial small subunit ribosomal RNA", at positions 28 to 507 of the family's 1533-position model. The record is from RNAcentral.